CGCGAGGUAGAGCAGCGGUAGCUCGUCGGGCUCAUAACCCGAAGGUCACUGGUUCGAUCCCGGUCCUCGCUACGA
This 75-nucleotide transfer RNA is filed under the name Sphingobacteriales bacterium. RNAcentral describes it as "tRNA-Met". It matches the Rfam family "tRNA". Rfam says of the family: Transfer RNA (tRNA) molecules are approximately 80 nucleotides in length. Their secondary structure includes four short double-helical elements and three loops (D, anti-codon, and T loops). Lineage: Bacteria; Pseudomonadati; Bacteroidota; Sphingobacteriia; Sphingobacteriales. The record is from RNAcentral.